Molecule: unclassified non-coding RNA, 395 nt
Filed under: soil metagenome
Description: partial contains 5.8S ribosomal RNA, internal transcribed spacer 2, and large subunit ribosomal RNA
Rfam family: 5.8S ribosomal RNA (bases 1-120)
Source: RNAcentral
GAUGAAGAACGUAGCGAAAUGCGAAAAGUAAUGUGAAUUGCAGAAUUCAGUGAAUCAUCGAAUCUUUGAACGCACCUUGCGCCUUUUGGUAUUCCGAAAGGCACACCUGUUUGAGCGUCAUGAAUACCUCAAUCUCCAUCUUUUCUUCGGAUUGAUGGGUGACUUGGAUGUUGAGCCCUGCUGGUAUGCUAUAUCAGCUGGCUUUAAACUUAUUAGCCGGCUCUGUACUGGAUCGGUUUGACUCGACGUGAUAAUAUUAUCGUUGAGGAUGCAUGUCUCAUGCAGCCGGAAAGUAUCAAAGCAGCUUCUAGCUUGCCUUUAGUGCACUUUUACAUUUUACACCUCAGAUCAGGUGGGACUACCCGCUGAACUUAAGCAUAUCAAUAAGCGGAUGA